Long non-coding RNA from Pseudoliparis swirei, 900 nucleotides. RefSeq lists it as uncharacterized. The record is from RefSeq and is a predicted model, not a curated record. Lineage: Eukaryota; Metazoa; Chordata; Actinopteri; Perciformes; Liparidae. The transcript has 3 exons.
GAGAACCAGCUGCAGGAUUCAGGAGUGAAGCUGCUGACUGGUUUUCUGGAGAGUCCACGUUGUAGCCUGGAGACUCUGAGACUGUCACGCUGUGGGAUCACAGAGGAAGGCUGUUCUUCUCUGGGAUCAGCUCUGAAGUCAAACCCCUCCAGUCUCAGAGAACUGGAUCUGAGCUGGAACGAGCUGCAGGAUUCAGGAGUGAAGCUGCUGACUGGUUUUCUGGAGAGUCCACAUUAUAGACUGGAGACUCUGAGAUUGGAAGUGAUCAGCUGAGUGCUGAUGAUCCAGAGAGCAUCUGGUCUUGUUCUGACGUUCCAACGCUUGUUUUGCUGAUGUUUCUGCCGCUUCGUUUCCCUUUACCCGUCUCUGUGCUGGCACCCACAUGAAUGCCACCAAAAUACCACCUGACUAAGUGGGAGCAGUGUUUCCUAGAUGUCGUUGAUUAUAUCCUGCCUGCUAGGAGAUGUGACUGUAAUGAUGAUAACGCUGAACUGGAAUCUGAACCAAUGACAACCUUUCUGACCUGAAGCUCCUCCACCCACUGCAGCGCUGGUCAGACGGCCAAAGCCUCAACUGUCAACACGACAGAUGGUCUGAUGACCUUCGUCUGACCUCAUAGUUAAAGGAACGAUAACUGCAAAUCCAGUUCUCCCUGUAUUGGGCUCUUUAGAUCCAUCUGUGUCCGCCGGGGUAAACGAUUGAUCUGCUGUCUGCAGUGUCUCCUCUUCUCCUCGUUGUCUAGUUGUUGUCUUUGGUUCCGUCUUCCCUGUGCCUGGAUAUUCUUGACCUGCCUGUUUGACCCUGCCUGCUUGCCCUAACCACGAUUCCCUGCCUGCCCCCUUUUGGACGUUUUGCUUCUUUUGGAACUUUUGUCUGAUUAAAGAGUCUUUUUGUUAUUCA